This 74-nucleotide transfer RNA is filed under the name Acidihalobacter prosperus. RNAcentral describes it as "Thiobacillus prosperus tRNA". It matches the Rfam family "tRNA". Rfam says of the family: Transfer RNA (tRNA) molecules are approximately 80 nucleotides in length. The record is from Rfam by way of RNAcentral. Lineage: Bacteria; Pseudomonadati; Pseudomonadota; Gammaproteobacteria; Chromatiales; Ectothiorhodospiraceae.
GCCCCGGUGGCACAGAUGGAUAGCGCGGCCCCCUCCUAAGGGGCAGGUCAGAGGUUCGAAUCCUCUCCGGGGCG